GAGGGCGGGCAGCAGCAGCGGGAGCAGGGGCGCCCCGGGCGCCGGGGCCGCUGGGGACGAACGCGGCGGGUCAGGCCCCGAAGCCCGGGCCGCGGUGGCCGCCUCAGGCGCCCGCUCUGGGGUGGGGGUGGGGGCAUCUUUCGGGACCGAACUCGCCGCAGCCUCCCUCUUUGUGCUCCUUUCCCCUGCUGCCCUUCCAGAUGCGCUCUUUCCAGAAAGGCAGCACACGCAUGUCUCUGCCGUGGCCCCAGAUCCUCCCCGCGCCGCCGUUUUGAGCGUUCACACUCAUUACCCAGGUCCGUCUGGGAGACCCGCCGGGCUCCCGCCCUCCCGGCCCGCAGCCUCCUGGCCAAAAUCCUCCCGGGACACCCCACCUGGACUGCUGCGAACGGGCCUCCACCCGCCUCCCCGGACCCGCAGCGCCCCCCGCUCCCUCAGGGUUCUGGGGUGAAGGGGUCUGAAUAGCACCAGGGGAGGCGGCAGGGCGGGCCUGUCCUACCUGCGCCCGAGCACUGCUGAGACGACAUCCCUUCCAGCGCCGCCACGUAGUCCAGCCCCAGCCAGCCGCGGUCCUGGAAGCACCGCAGGCAGACGACCUGCUCCUCACUGGGCUCAGGCAGGGUCACCCGCCCAGUGCCGCUAGCUGCAAAUUGCUUUACAUACAGUGACCCAAAGAGCAAGUCAUUUCAGGGCCCCACCACUCUGAUUGGAAGUCAUAAGCUUGACAACUGAUUGGCCUCUGUCACCCAAGCGGGUGUGGGGACACUAGGCCCGCAGGUGCCACUGGAAGAGGCGUUCAGAAGCACUGCGGUGCUCCAGCUCCUGGAUGCAGAUAUCUCCCCACAAACCUAAACAAUUUCGAGAGGGACUUGUGUUCUGCAACCAGUCACAGAAUAUCAGGUGAGCUGGGCGUGUCUUCACUGACCCACCCGCCCAGGGAUGCUGCACUCCUCUCCACCCUGCUCAGAAUCACUAGAAUGACCGUUCUGUGGCUACAGCCCUAAAAGAGCUACUAAAAAGACCAGAAGUAGUAUGAGAACUUAUGAAUACGAAUAUAAAUAAAGGACAUCUGGAGAACAUGCAUGAAUGUCUAUGUAAAGUGUUAAGUACUGAUCAAGGAGGAACGAAGGAGUCAGGUGGCUCUCAGUCUUUUUGGAGGGACUCGCAGAUCCUCCUGAAGAUCUGAUGAAAGCUGUCAGCCUUCUCCCCAGAAAAAUGCACAUCCACCCAGGAUUCUUCUCCCACAUUACUUCAGAGGACUUAGCAACCCCCUAGGGAAGCCCAGGGACCCAGAGUAAAGCACUCCUGGGAUAGAGGGGUUCUGUGGGGAAGAUGACAGGAAGGAACAUGCGUCAGUUCACAAUGUCAAAGUUUAGGAACAGGCCUGGCGAGCCAGCCAGCUCUGCAGUUCUGUGGUGCUGGUGGGUGUGGAGAAGGCAAUUUCAGCAUAAGUCGGGGGAGGGGGAGUGGUUAGAAACCAGUGGCUCCAUUGUGAGACAACCUGGGUUUAAAUUCUAGGUAUAUU
Molecule: long non-coding RNA, 1525 nt
Filed under: Homo sapiens (human)
Lineage: Eukaryota; Metazoa; Chordata; Mammalia; Primates; Hominidae
Description: HSALNT0317624
Source: RNAcentral